Molecule: ribosomal RNA, 497 nt
Filed under: uncultured bacterium
Lineage: Bacteria
Description: partial 16S ribosomal RNA
Rfam family: Bacterial small subunit ribosomal RNA
Source: RNAcentral
GAUGAACGCUGGCGGCGUGCCUAAUACAUGCAGGUCGAGCGAACAGAUGAGGAGCUUGCUCCUCUGACGUUAGCGGCGGACGGGUGAGUAACACGUGGAUAACCUACCUAUAAGACUGGGAUAACUUCGGGAAACCGGAGCUAAUACCGGAUAAUAUAUUGAACCGCAUGGUUCAAUAGUGAAAGACGGUUUUGCUGUCACUUAUAGAUGGAUCCGCGCCGCAUUAGCUAGUUGGUAAGGUAACGGCUUACCAAGGCAACGAUGCGUAGCCGACCUGAGAGGGUGAUCGGCCACACUGGAACUGAGACACGGUCCAGACUCCUACGGGAGGCAGCGGUAGGGAAUCUUCCGCAAUGGGCGAAAGCCUGACGGAGCAACGCCGCGUGAGUGAUGAAGGUCUUCGGAUCGUAAAACUCUGUUAUUAGGGAAGAACAAAUGUGUAAGUAACUAUGCACGUCUUGACGGUACCUAAUCAGAAAGCCACGGCUAACUACGUG